RNAcentral lists this ribosomal RNA (467 nucleotides) under uncultured bacterium. RNAcentral's name for it is "bacterial SSU rRNA". It matches the Rfam family "Bacterial small subunit ribosomal RNA", at positions 33 to 507 of the family's 1533-position model. The record is from RNAcentral.
ACGACGCUGGCGGCGUGCUUAACACAUGCAAGUCGAACGGAAGGCCCUGCUUUUGUGGGGUGCUCGAGUGGCGAACGGGUGAGUAACACGUGAGUAACCUGCCCUUGACUUUGGGAUAACUUCAGGAAACUGGGGCUAAUACCGGAUAGGAGCUCCUGCUGCAUGGUGGGGGGUUGGAAAAGUUUCGGCGGUUGGGGAUGGACUCGCGGCUUAUCAGCUUGUUGGUGGGGUAGUGGCUUACCAAGGCUUUGACGGGUAGCCGGCCUGAGAGGGUGACCGGCCACAUUGGGACUGAGAUACGGCCCAGACUCCUACGGGAGGCAGCAGUGGGGAAUAUUGCACAAUGGGCGGAAGCCUGAUGCAGCAACGCCGCGUGCGGGAUGACGGCCUUCGGGUUGUAAACCGCUUUCGCCUGUGACGAAGCGUGAGUGACGGUAAUGGGUAAAGAAGCACCGGCUAACUACGUG